This 1000-nucleotide ribosomal RNA is filed under the name Acinetobacter sp. RNAcentral's name for it is "bacterial SSU rRNA". It matches the Rfam family "Bacterial small subunit ribosomal RNA", at positions 56 to 1050 of the family's 1533-position model. The record is from RNAcentral. Lineage: Bacteria; Pseudomonadati; Pseudomonadota; Gammaproteobacteria; Moraxellales; Moraxellaceae.
UGCAAGUCGAGCGGGGAAGAGUAGCUUGCUACUUUACCUAGCGGCGGACGGGUGAGUAAUGCUUAGGAAUCUGCCUAUUAGUGGGGGACAACAUCUCGAAAGGGAUGCUAAUACCGCAUACGUCCUACGGGAGAAAGCAGGGGACCUUCGGGCCUUGCGCUAAUAGAUGAGCCUAAGUCGGAUUAGCUAGUUGGUGGGGUAAAGGCCUACCAAGGCGACGAUCUGUAGCGGGUCUGAGAGGAUGAUCCGCCACACUGGGACUGAGACACGGCCCAGACUCCUACGGGAGGCAGCAGUGGGGAAUAUUGGACAAUGGGGGGAACCCUGAUCCAGCCAUGCCGCGUGUGUGAAGAAGGCCUUUUGGUUGUAAAGCACUUUAAGCGAGGAGGAGGCUACCGAGAUUAAUACUCUUGGAUAGUGGACGUUACUCGCAGAAUAAGCACCGGCUAACUCUGUGCCAGCAGCCGCGGUAAUACAGAGGGUGCAAGCGUUAAUCGGAUUUACUGGGCGUAAAGCGCGCGUAGGUGGCCAAUUAAGUCAAAUGUGAAAUCCCCGAGCUUAACUUGGGAAUUGCAUUCGAUACUGGUUGGCUAGAGUAUGGGAGAGGAUGGUAGAAUUCCAGGUGUAGCGGUGAAAUGCGUAGAGAUCUGGAGGAAUACCGAUGGCGAAGGCAGCCAUCUGGCCUAAUACUGACACUGAGGUGCGAAAGCAUGGGGAGCAAACAGGAUUAGAUACCCUGGUAGUCCAUGCCGUAAACGAUGUCUACUAGCCGUUGGGGCCUUUGAGGCUUUAGUGGCGCAGCUAACGCGAUAAGUAGACCGCCUGGGGAGUACGGUCGCAAGACUAAAACUCAAAUGAAUUGACGGGGGCCCGCACAAGCGGUGGAGCAUGUGGUUUAAUUCGAUGCAACGCGAAGAACCUUACCUGGUCUUGACAUAGUAAGAACUUUCCAGAGAUGGAUUGGUGCCUUCGGGAACUUACAUACAGGUGCUGCAUGGCU